Molecule: ribosomal RNA, 679 nt
Filed under: Pagurus granosimanus
Lineage: Eukaryota; Metazoa; Arthropoda; Malacostraca; Decapoda; Paguridae
Description: SSU rRNA
Rfam family: Eukaryotic small subunit ribosomal RNA
Source: RNAcentral
UGCGGUUAAAAAGCUCGUAGUUGGAUUACAGUUCCGGACUGACGGUUCACCGCCCGGUGCUUACUGUCACGCUCCGAACAGCCUGAAACAUGGCCCCGCCGGCUCGCCCGGGGUGCUCUUUACCGAGUGUCCCGAGUGGCCGGCAUGUUUACUUUGAAAAAAUUAGAGUGCUCAGAGCAGGCUACAUGAAUUGGCCUGAAUGUCUAUGCAUGGAAUAAUGGAAUAGGACCUCGGUUCUAUUUUGUCGGUUUUCUUCGGAACCCGAGGUAAUGACUAAUAGAAACAGGCGGGGGUAUUAGUACUGCGACGCUAGAGGUGAAAUUCUUGGACCGUCGCAAGACUAACAACUGCGAAAGCAUUUACCAAGGAUGUUUUCAUUAAUCAAGAACGAAAGUUAGAGGUUCGAAGGCGAUCAGAUACCGCCCUAGUUCUAACCAUAAACGAUGCUGACUAGCGAUCCGCCGGCGUUAUUCCCAUGACCCGGCGGGCAGCUUCCGGGAAACCAAAGUCUUUGAGUUCCGGGGGAAGUAUGGUUGCAAAGCUGAAACUUAAAGGAAUUGACGGAAGGGCACCACCAGGAGUGGAGCCUGCGGCUUAAUUUGACUCAACACGGGAAACCUCACCAGGCCCAGACACUGGAAGGAUUGACAGAUUGAGAGCUCUUUCUCGAUUCAGUGGG